RNAcentral lists this ribosomal RNA (433 nucleotides) under uncultured bacterium. Its description in RNAcentral is "partial 16S ribosomal RNA". It matches the Rfam family "Bacterial small subunit ribosomal RNA", at positions 29 to 507 of the family's 1533-position model. The record is from RNAcentral.
AACGAACGCUGGCGGCAUGCCUAACACAUGCAAGUCGAACGAGAGCUUCGGGUCUAGUGGCGCACGGGUGCGUAACGCGUGGGAACCUGCACUUAGGUUCGGAAUAACUCUCCGAAAGGGGUGAUAAUACCGGAAAAUGUCUUCGGACAAAAGAUAUCUCGUCUUUGGAGGGGCACGCGUUGGAUUAGCUAGUUGCGAGGGUAAGAGCCUACCAAGGGGACGAUCCAUAGCUGGUCUGAGAGGAUGAUCAGCCACACUGAGACUGAGACACGGGCCAGACUCCUACGGGAGGCAGCAGUGGGGAAUAUAGGACAAUGGGCGAAAGCCUGAUCCAGCUAUGCCGCGUGAGUGAUGAAGUCCUUAGAGUUGUAAAGCUCGUUUACCCGGGAUUAUAAUGACAGUACCGGGAGAAUAAGCACCGGCUAACUCCGUG